GGGGGAUAUUGCACAAUGGGGGAAACCCUGAUGCAGCGACGCCGCGUGGAGGAAGAAGGUUUUCGGAUUGUAAACUCCUGUCGUUAGGGACGAUAAUGACGGUACCUAACAAGAAAGCACCGGCUAACUACGUGCCAGCAGCCGCGGUAAAACGUAGGGUGCAAGCGUUGUCCGGAAUUACUGGGUGUAAAGGGAGCGCAGGCGGGAAGACAAGUUGGAAGUGAAAACCAUGGGCUCAACCCAUGAAUUGCUUUCAAAACUGUUUUUCUUGAGUAGUGCAGAGGUAGAUGGAAUUCCCGGUGUAGCGGUGGAAUGCGUAGAUAUCGGGAGGAACACCAGUGGCGAAGGCGGUCUACUGGGCACCAACUGACGCUGAGGCUCGAAAGCAUGGGUAGCAAACAGGAUUAGAUACCCUGGUAGUCCAUGCCGUAAACGAUGAUUACUAGGUGUUGGGGGAUUGACCCCCUCAGUGCCGCAGUUAACACAAUAAGUAAUCCACCUGGGGAGUACGACCGCAAGGUUGAAACUCAAAGGAAUUGACGGGGGCCCGCACAAGCAGUGGAGUAUGUGGUUUAAUUCGAAGCAACGCGAAGAACCUUACCAGGUCUUGACAUCCGAUGCAUAGCACAGAGAUGUGUGAAAUCCUUCGGGACAUCGAGACAGGUGGUGCAUGGUUGUCGUCAGCUCGUGUCGUGAGAUGUUGGGUUAAGUCCCGCAACGAGCGCAACCCUUAUUGCCAGUUACUACGUUAAGAGGACUCUGGCGAGACUGCCGUUGACAAAACGGAGGAAGGUGGGAAUGACGUCAAAUCAUCAUGCCCUUUAUGACCUGGGCUACACACGUACUACAAUGGCGUUAAACAAAGAGAAGCAAGACCGCGAGGUGGAGCAAAACUCAAAAACAACGUCUCAGUUCAGAUUGCAGGCUGCAACUCGCCUGCAUGAAGUCGGAAUUGCUAGUAAUCGCGGAUCAGCAUGCCGCGGUGAAUACGUUCCCG
RNAcentral lists this ribosomal RNA (997 nucleotides) under uncultured organism. RNAcentral's name for it is "bacterial SSU rRNA". It matches the Rfam family "Bacterial small subunit ribosomal RNA", at positions 356 to 1376 of the family's 1533-position model. The record is from RNAcentral.